UACGUAGGGGGCAAGCGUUAUCCGGAUUUACUGGGUGUAAAGGGAGCGUAGACGGCAGUGCAAGUCCGGAGUGAAAGCCCGGGGCUCAACCCUGGGACUGCUCUGGAAACUGUAAAGCUGGAGUGCGGGAGGGGCAGGCGGAAUUCCUGGUGUAGCGGUGAAAUGCGUAGAUAUCAGGAGGAACACCGGCGGCGAAGGCGGCCUGCUGGGCUUUAACUGACGCUGAGGCUCGAAAGCGUGGGGAGCAAACAGG
Molecule: ribosomal RNA, 253 nt
Filed under: uncultured bacterium
Lineage: Bacteria
Description: partial 16S ribosomal RNA
Rfam family: Bacterial small subunit ribosomal RNA
Source: RNAcentral